UGCCAGCAGCCGCGGUAAUACGGAUGGUGCGAGCGUUAAUCGGAAUUACUGGGCGUAAAGCGCGCGUAGGCGGUUUUGUAAGUCAGAUGUGAAAGCCCAGGGCUCAACCUUGGAACUGCAUUUGAUACUGCAUGACUAGAGUGCGAUAGAGGGGGGUAGAAUUUCAGGUGUAGCGGUGAAAUGCGUAGAGAUCUGAAGGAAUACCAGUGGCGAAGGCGGCCCCCUGGAUUGACACUGACGCUGAGGUGCGAAAGCGUGGGGAGCAAACAGGAUUAGAUA
RNAcentral lists this ribosomal RNA (279 nucleotides) under uncultured bacterium. RNAcentral describes it as "partial 16S ribosomal RNA". It matches the Rfam family "Bacterial small subunit ribosomal RNA", at positions 506 to 784 of the family's 1533-position model. The record is from RNAcentral.